GAGGCCAUAAGUCAAGUUUCAAUCGGUGAAAACCUUUGAAACUUGAGUAUGUCACUCUAGACUCCCGUAUCUUUCUUUUGGCAUCGGCCUCACCAUUUUUGAGUAAGGGAAACAACCGGUAUAAAUUCUUGAAAUCUAGUUCUUAUUCCUUGUACCAUCCAGUAGGUUUUACAAACCUACGACUUUGAGGUCGCAAAGGCCGACUUAAAUCUUUGAUUCUCAAGCCUAUCUUUCUACUGAAUAUUCACUGACAUGUUGGGAACUUACUUGUUCAGUUUUAGAAUUUUUGGUGAAGCCUAAAGUGGUUUUUCCGAUUUAUGUUCUGAAUCUGCCAAACUUGAACUCUUUUUGUGCACUGAACUUUAGACAGUCA
This 373-nucleotide long non-coding RNA is filed under the name Salvia miltiorrhiza (redroot sage). RNAcentral describes it as "long non-coding RNA (SMIL_LNC010802)". Lineage: Eukaryota; Viridiplantae; Streptophyta; Magnoliopsida; Lamiales; Lamiaceae. The record is from RNAcentral.